CAAGAGUGAGACUCAGUCUCAAAAAAAAAAAAAAAAGAAAGAAAAAACAAAAAAGAUAAUGGGCAAGUAAAGAGGUUUCAACUGUUGUUCUACAGGCUUCCUUGUAAAAGAUGAGAUGUCAAAACACAGGAAGAAAAUGUUUGACAAGACAUGAUAAAAUAAAAUGCCUUAAAAUAAAAGUUAAUAGGAAGGCAGAAAAGACCCAAACGCAUCUAUAGUAUCAGUUCCUCCAGAGGACAAGAAAAUCCAUCAUAAAAAAGGCCUCAUGGUGGAAGAAAAGCCCGGGAAACAAAGUCCCACCAAGACACCUCCUACUCCAUGAAGUCUUCCUGAACCAUAAAGCACAUCACAUCAGAUGCACACGAUGCCAAGCUGUACCACUUCUAGCGAUGAUGCUACAGUUUCAUCAUUCAGUAAAGGUUAGUAUUUGCCCAAUUUUUCCAUUAAUAGAGAAAUUCCCUUUUGUAACUAAUGAAUAAUCCACGUGAUAUACUUUGAGACAGGGCGCAUAUCAUGUUCCUUAACAACUCUACCCAAUGGUCUCAUCAUCCGUUGAUGAUUCCUACCUGAAUCAAUUAUGGGGCGCAUAUCAUGUUCCUUAACAACUCUACCCAAUGGUCUCAUCAUCCACUGAUGAUCCCUACCUGAAUCAAUUAUGACUGUGAUGGUGGUAAAAUGGUGUUUGGGUUUUUUUUUCUAUCAUUCCUUCUAUAUUAUGAAAUGACAUUAUUAACUUUGGACUUUAAAAAGUUUUUCUUUUCUAGCUCCUCCCCUUUCAAUAUCACUAUAAUCUAAAGAAUUAUUUGAUUCCAUGAUUAUAAUCCAUUAUCAUCAUUAUUCUUUUUGAACCUCAAACUGUCCCCUAGGAGGUGGCUUAGACUACUUCCCGUCUGAGUGGCAAUGUCUCCCCUUCAAAUUUGUCCUUUUGAUAUGCCCUAUUUGUCUUUUACCAUUUCUUAGUGUUCUGGUACAAAAUGAUUUUGGCCCACCUUAUACUCUCCCUAUCCCAACCUGCAGUCAGCCAUCAGUUCAAGAACCUGUGAUUCCCUGUAGUGGAGAAGAUGUUCAAAACUAAAUUUUGGGCACUGGAUGUGCUUCUCACCAAUGAAAUUUUUAUAAUUGUAUAGAAGACUCUGACAUAAGAAAAUUCUACUUCUCUCAGAAUGUCAGAGCAACAUACAGUCAAGGAAAAUAAUGCAAAGGCCAUCAUCUCCACCUCUACUCCCUCUGCUAUCUCUCCAUUACCUCUACUAGCUAAGAAAAUGCUACACUGCUGUAUACUUUUCUUCCCAUGAGCUGUUUUCAGGGAAGGGCUAAACUUCUGUUUAAAGUUUAUGAUAUAAUACCCUAUUGUCUUAAGUUGAUCUUGCCUCUAAGUCAGAACUGGCCUCUCCUACUGGGGCAAAGAAGGUCGAAGGAUUAAAACUGGAACCAAUAUCUUCUUUGUUACCUCUCAACCUCCAGUGAUCUGAGACUACGUUUUCAACCCUGUACAGGACCAGCUGAAUAGUAAGUAUUCAAUAAUCAUUUGUUGAAUCAUCUACAUAGCUUUGUCUUCUAUCUGGUCCAAGGCCCUUCCCACUAUUAACAUGGCUAAUAAUUCAGAUAGUAAAGGCUAGACACGUACACAAUGCAUGGAUGGAUAUUACAUAGCCUUCUCUUGUAGAAUAAGAAAUCUUGGGAUUUGCUCAGAUUCAAGUCUUCAGAUGCUUUAAUGGCUCUAUUUGAACAUUACUGCGUAUUGUGAUAUAAUGAGAACUAUAUGAUCUCUGCCCCCAGUUCCCUCCUGGAGGUUGUGGGAACCUCUAAUUUAUAGCCCUUCACAGGUGAUAACCUAAGACUUUCAACUGGCUUCUGACGUGAGAGGCAAUCUUAUGGAAGUGAGCUCUUAACCUGUGAGGUCUGCACCUACUCUGGUUAGUGUCAGAAUUGAGUUAAAUUGUAGAGUUAAAUUUGGGGUCCACUUGGGGAAAAACCGACACAUAUCUUGGUAACCGGAAGUAUUCUGUGCUGUGUCAAGUAUGAGAGGAGGAAAAACAGUUUGGUUUUUCCCUAUCUUAACAGUUUGUUUUUCGUUUCAGUUAGGACUCAUGAGUGAGGACAAAGUUGAUGGGAGUCAGGCAUGCCUAGACCUCACCAGCAGAGGUCAGAAGAAGACAAGAAGUACAAAAAGAAACGUGUCUUUUUACAGAACACCCUGACAUUGGAAAGUCUAUCAGUCAUGUAUCUUGAAUAAGAUUUCAUACUACAUUAAAUUAAGAUUUUUUUGAUAUAAAUAGGUUCCAAUAUCCUAUACACCAUGCAAAAGAUUGCACUACAUGAAGGGAUAGCUGAAUCUAUGAAAAUUCAUAGUUUUACAUAUCUAUUCUUCCUUAUUAAAAUCAUCAAUAAACUCAAAGAAACAAUAUAAUCCAUUAUUAAUACAGUUCUCUACAGAGUAAAUAUAAUGUUUGUUUAUGUGCUUAAGUGCCUGUUUGGGGGAAACCAAAGCACUUAGUAAACACCAAUACUAAUCCUCUUAGGAAGGACUGUAUACCACUCUCCCUAUUUUAAACAGAGAACUGCCUUAUGUAAAAUAAUACAUUGGCAAAGCUGGAAGGAAAGCUGUGAUUACCCGACUAUGCACUAGUGUACAAGUCUUCCCCAAUGGAAAUAAGAGCAUGCUUCAAGUGUAUGCUCUAUAAAGACUGCAGACCAGCAAGGCUAUCAUUUCUAGACUUUAUUCCAUUUUAAAAAUGUAAACUUUUUUUAAUUCAUUUCCUGGAAAUGGUAAAACUUGGCUACUAGGACUAGGCAGUCACCACAGAACACAAGAACUUAACUCAAACCUGAAGAACUUGGGGGAAAUCCUGAUAAACUAAGAGGCUUCCAGCCUUAGGCUGUUUUGCAUGUGGCUAAGUUCUCAUUCCACUUUAAAGAAACCAAAACUGUAAAAGGCAAGUCAUGCAAUAUGAGUGCAGUUUCCGUAAAAAAGGCCUUAGGGAAACCCAAUCAACAGCCUCUGAAUCCUGUCCCCACCCCCAAAUAAAAGACAAGUGAAUAUAAAGUUAUAUCUUAUUUUAAAAUAAAUUACUAAGGUACGCAUAGAUCAUUUUUUAGUGAUUCCCCAUUAAAUUAAACUUUCUGGAGAAAACAAUCAAUUAAUUAUAAGCCUAACUGCAUUAAGAGGUCAUUUACUAUAUAGGCACAUCUCUUAAAAAACUAAUAAAAAAUUUUGAAAAACAAUAUUCCUCAAGCAUGCAUCCUCCUGUGUCUGAUAUUUCUUCUUUUCUUCACCUCCCCAUUUAUUGAAUCAUUUAAAUCACCGGUCUGAAGACUUUCAAACUUUCUGGAUCAGGAAAUUACAAAAGGGGGAGGGGAAUGUUGGAGAGAGAAGUCAAUACUGGACUGCCAGAUUUUUAUUUUGCCAAAUGUGGAUAUCUUUUGUUAAAGAUAUCUUCCAACUCUUUCUGAUUUCUCAAAUAAAAGACACUGUAACACUUGAAGGGACAAUCUCUGCCAGUCUUUAUGUCAAUAUAUUUAGUUUUACAAAGAAUCCAUUACAUUAAUUCAGCCCAAAAGAGAGAUCAUAGUCAGAGUGUGAGAACAAAUCCUUACAUUCCCAUUCAAGGUGGACUGCCACAAACUUCACAGGGGCAUUUACCAACUUCUCACUAUUACUCAUUAUUUCCUUCUCAGUCAUUCCUCAGCUACAAAGAAUCUGCCUUUCCCCUCCACCUGCACUACCACUGCAUUUCACAUAUACUAUGGCC
This 3752-nucleotide long non-coding RNA is filed under the name Homo sapiens (human). RNAcentral describes it as "HSALNT0356452". Lineage: Eukaryota; Metazoa; Chordata; Mammalia; Primates; Hominidae. The record is from RNAcentral.